GCACUGCUGAAGAGUCCAAAACUAGGACGAAACGGCCAUCCAAUAC
Schistosoma mansoni is the source of this 46-nucleotide non-coding RNA. NCBI's taxonomy places the organism in Eukaryota, Metazoa, Platyhelminthes, Trematoda, Strigeidida, Schistosomatidae. The record is from Rfam.